This 497-nucleotide ribosomal RNA is filed under the name uncultured bacterium. Its description in RNAcentral is "partial 16S ribosomal RNA". It matches the Rfam family "Bacterial small subunit ribosomal RNA", at positions 28 to 507 of the family's 1533-position model. The record is from RNAcentral.
GACGAACGCUGGCGGCGUGCCUAAUACAUGCAAGUUGAGCGCUGAAGGUUGGUACUUGUACCAACUGGAUGAGCAGCGAACGGGUGAGUAACGCGUGGGGAAUCUGCCUUUGAGCGGGGGACAACAUUUGGAAACGAAUGCUAAUACCGCAUAAAAACUUUAAACACAAGUUUUAAGUUUGAAAGAUGCAAUUGCAUCACUCAAAGAUGAUCCCGCGUUGUAUUAGCUAGUUGGUGAGGUAAAGGCUCACCAAGGCGAUGAUACAUAGCCGACCUGAGAGGGUGAUCGGCCACAUUGGGACUGAGACACGGCCCAAACUCCUACGGGAGGCUGCAGUAGGGAAUCUUCGGCAAUGGACGAAAGUCUGACCGAGCAACGCCGCGUGAGUGAAGAAGGGUUUCGGAUCGUAAAACUCUGUUGGUAGAGAAGAACGUUGGUGAGAGUGGAAAGCUCAUCAAGUGACGGUAACUACCCAGAAAGGGACGGCUAACUACGUG